GGGCUGGGGAUGUAGCUCCGUGGUAAAGUGCCCACAGGUUCAGUCCCCAGUAUCAAAGAAAAGAAAACCAAGGGGUUUCAGGAUCUCUGACCACUCACUCUAAAACCAGCACCUUGGAGGCCUUCCAUGCUUGGGGGCUGAGGUAGUCACCUCCAUCUUAUUUGGAAAAACACAAGAUAGAAGUGGCAAUGAACGUUGGCACCAGGGUACCCCCGAUCCUGGGUCAGCAGGGGGUUAGGGACCUCUGCUUCUCUAAAGAAGCCAGAUACAAGCCAAGGCAUUCACCAAAGGAGCACAACACCAUCUCUGCUAGAAAUUGUCAUUUUGUCCCCAGGCACAGUUAUCCACGUGACUCACACUGGCAGGAUCAGAGUCCCAGGGCUGCUCCCUCUGGGAUCCAUCCAGCCCUCCCUCGGGGCCCUUCCAUCUCACAGCCAGCACCAGCUCCCUGAAUUCAAAAUCACAAACCACACACCAGGAGGAAGAAGCCAUCUCUUCCACAUACUUCAGCAUAUGCCAGGGAGGAAGAGGAUAAUAGACAGAGACGGCCGGAUACAGAAAUACGUGUUGAACUAGUGCAACUAGGAACUGGCAAGUCACCAUUUAAAGGGUCAAGAGCUGUAUAUGGUGGAAUGAGAUGAUCCCACGCAAUAUGCAGAGAACCAAGAUGAAGAUCCAGUGUUCCCAGUGGCCCCAAGACUUGUAUAGAAGGAAAGGGGCCAAGCAACUGUGGAUCCCAACACUGUCAAAUCCAGCUGAGGCUGUUCAGGAAAACCUGGUUACCCUUACAAUCAUGAAAUUUAAAAUCAUCAUUAAUUUUCACACAAUGUUUUGCUUUAAUUUUCACACUAACCAACAUUUUAUGACUUACAUACAUACUUGACAUUAUUGAAAGUCGCCCCCCCCCCAAAAAAAAAAAGAAUGGCAAAAGACUUUCAAUGUGUACAACAAAAAUAAAGAGAAUCAUUAAAUUUAUGGUCAUCAAAAAAUCUAUCUUCUUUAAAAAUAGGUAUUAUUAGGAACUCUCAGAUCCAUGAAGACAGGAAGGAAACAUAUUCUUUAAAACAUUUUUUUUAAGCUUUUUCUCUUGCUUAGAGACUGCCCGGGACAGACUCAUGUUGCUGAUGUUGUGAUUAUUUUUUUAUGAUCUGGCAGAGGCAGGGCUCCUAUGCAGGUUCCUGGCUUCGUAGUUGAGUUCUCAGACCACAGCCGAAGUGUUCUCAUGUUGAGAACGCAGGGCCUCGGGGAACAGGCUUCUCGUCUCCAAAAUAGAUCCUUCCCAACCAUGGCGUGAAGCUUGUGAAUGUUUUCACAAUGACUCAGAAGCAAAGAUUCCCCAGCAGAAGAGCAAGUCAUAUACAAACACCUGGCACCCAGACCCCCAGGCUUUGCUUCCUGUGCCACGGGCAGUCCCCAAGUCAAGAUGGCCCCGGGGAAGUUGCCCAGGGAGCGUUAGAGACUAGAAACUGCCCUUGGAGACCUCCAGUCCCCUGGGGUUGGAGACAGUGAGAACCUCUUCCCCAUCUCUCUUGUUUGUGUCUUCCAUCCCCUGUUCACUCUCCAGUCACCACCUGUAAUAGAUUGGAUCCAUCAAAGGCCCAAAGUCUCAUCCCAACCUGUCCCAUACCUUGUCAUAUGACAGUGAAGUGUCCUCCUGCCCUAUUCUGUCUCUGGGCCCAGCCAGGUGACUUUGGUGAAUGGAAUAGUAGCCCACAUGACCCAAGCAGAGGCCACUUGUCCCUGUUUCCUGGUCUUCUGGGAGGCAAGACCCAGGUGAAGCCCAAGCAGGCCAUCCCAGGUGAUCUAGCCAUGGACACUACACCUGCUCCAGGAGCCAGCCAAUGCCCUCCAUGUGGCCACGCCCACCAAUCCACAGAACAGCCGAGACCCAGAGCAGUCAACAGGCCCCGUCUCAGCCACGGAGGUCGGUGGUUAUUAUUAUGCCAACACAUCACCCCUUACAUUCUAGCCGGCAGAAGGAAGAAGGAUGAGAAAUGUUUCCAGAAGCACAUGGGUCACCUCUGCUUAUUUGUCACUGGCCAGAGUUUAGUCUCCGAGCCACUUCUGCGGCACAGAAGACUAGAAAGCAGCAGUCUGUACUCGAGACACAGCUGUACGAGGCCUGUGUCACUGCUCAGCCAGGAACACCCGUGCGACCUUGGGCAAAUCCUCUCCUUCUUUGGCCUUGUGUUCUAUCUGUCCAGUGGGAGUGAGGGAGAGAGCGUUUCUGCGUGGUCUCUUAAGCCUUUCUGGAACUUUCCAGAAAUCCCAGUGAAGAUUUUGAAGAGGUUGGCCCUCUGUUGGAGGCCAGUGGAGAUGGACCUACUUAUACAUCCAGAUGGCCCCCUUCAGUCUGACAGCCAAAGCACAGGUCUCUAGCCGCCAUUCUCGGACCCCUGGACCAGUCCAAGGAAGCUGUAAGACUCCCCAAAAUCAGGAAAUGAAGUAGUCAGGGAUUCAAAGUGCAGCCAGGCACCAUGUAUGUGGCCCUGUUUGGAGUAAGAACAGAGUACAAAUACAUUUUAAUUGACCCCCAUCAAAUGACACUGCCCGUCUGUGCGCUUAAUAAAGAGGAAAGAACUCUGCUCAGGUCUGAUCACAGCCUUCAAGGCCUCAUAAAGCCAGUGAGCUCUGAGGUGAAAGACACUACACACUCACCUGUGGGCUGGGACAAUGUUAUGAGGCUUUCAAAUCUCAUAGAGAAAAAGCCUCUUCUAUCAAAUAUACAUAAAAACAUGAGAACAUCUCCCAAACAAGCUAAGGCAGACAGCUCUGUCUUUAUCUACUUUGAAAUCGCUGUUGCUGAAUUUGUGGUCAAAGAUACAUUUUAACUCACCACCAUUAAGUUAUACAGCCCAUAGGUGCACUUUAUCAAGAGGGGAAAAUCUUUGUUCGGAGUCUAGAAUUCUGAGAGUCUUAUAAGCCUUAAAAUUCUGUGACGAAAGGGACUACCCACUUUAUACUUUAUAAAUCAGACUGAUACGAUUUACAGCUCCGAAAUCCUCUUACUUAGAACUCAAGUAUUUAUCUCUCCCCUUGAGAGGGAAAAAAAAAAAAUCAAACUAGCUCUGAAGCCCAGAGCCAGCAGAGGUGUCAUCUGCCACAAAUGUCAUGGCUGUCCUGGAUUUUGCAUGAAAUAUAUAAAUUAUUACAACAGAAAACUAACAUAAGAUAUCAAGCAUUUAUGCCUAAAACUUAGAAUUCAAUGAGUCAACGACUCCUUAAAAAAAAAAAUAUCCUGGUAGGCAUCAUGAUCCCAUUUACAGGCAUGAAUACUGACAUUCAGAGAAGCUAUGUAACUCUUCCAAGGCCACACAGCUAACAAGGGGCCAAGCUGGGAUCUCAUCCCAGGCAGGUUCUCCAGGAGAAUAUACUUAGUACAGUGUCUGGCACAGAGUUCACACUUAGAAUUGUUUCUAUCUGCUUUCUCCCCUAAAAAUGAUUCUUGCCUAGAUUUGGGCAAGGUGGUCUCAGGGAUCCCCUAACCCACAGGGUGGAGUUGACUUCCACUGAAGAAGCUCACAGGCCUCCUGUGGGGUUCCCCCAUCCCCACUGAGCCAAAGGAUUUGUCAACUUUUGUUUUUUCUUUAUAGACAGAGACACAGGUAUGGAAUCAAAUCAUGUCUGAAGGACUGAAAAUCCACAGUACCAAGGGCAGAGGAGAGGUGGCCUGGUUCACUCAGUGGUAGAACUGUCCCCUCCCCUACCUUGGAUUCCACUCGCCCACCCCAGGUUGGAUGAUGUCCACCGGUACCGGGGAGAGUGACUCGAGUUAGUUUACACAUUCAAUACCACUCCCUCUAGACGUGCCUGGAAACGUUUCACCUGCUAUCUGCAUAUCACAUGAUACAGUCAAGGUGACACAUAAAAUUGGCCACCAUAACCAUUACAGCUAUGACCGUUAUAAAAAAAAUGUUCUGGGAUGAAUUUUUCUGUUUGUUUCCCUCCUAAGAAGAUUGGACUCAUUAUGGGUAUUGAAUCACGUCUCAUCCAUGUUGUUUGAGAUAGAAAUUCGGUUUAUUCUCUCAAAGGAUUUAGUGCUCUCGGUUCCCAGGAGUCCUAGUCCUUGAACUACCUUCCAAACCCCAAGGGGAAUGUCACAAA
Long non-coding RNA from Marmota monax (woodchuck), 4104 nucleotides. RefSeq lists it as uncharacterized. NCBI's taxonomy places the organism in Eukaryota, Metazoa, Chordata, Mammalia, Rodentia, Sciuridae. The record is from RefSeq and is a predicted model, not a curated record. The transcript has 3 exons.